Molecule: antisense RNA, 75 nt
Filed under: Streptomyces mobaraensis
Lineage: Bacteria; Bacillati; Actinomycetota; Actinomycetes; Kitasatosporales; Streptomycetaceae
Description: ASpks TB sRNA
Rfam family: ASpks TB sRNA
Source: Rfam by way of RNAcentral
CUUCACCGAGCCGAGCCACAACGGGCGGUCCUCGUCGCGUCCCUGUCCGUACGUCGCCAGGAGGGCCUGAGCCUC